RNAcentral lists this ribosomal RNA (253 nucleotides) under uncultured bacterium. RNAcentral describes it as "partial 16S ribosomal RNA". It matches the Rfam family "Bacterial small subunit ribosomal RNA", at positions 524 to 776 of the family's 1533-position model. The record is from RNAcentral.
UACGGAAGGUGCGAGCGUUAAUCGGAAUUACUGGGCGUAAAGCGCACGNAGGCGGNUUGUUAAGNUAGAUGUGAAAGCCCCGGGCUCAACCUGGGANGGNCAUUUAGUACUGGCAGACUAGAGUCUUGGAGAGGGGNGCGGAAUUCCANGUGUAGCGGUGAAAUGCGUAGAUAUAUGGAGGAACAUCAGUGGCGAAGGCGACUNCCUGGNCAAAGACUGACGCUCAUGUGCGAAAGCGUGGGUAGCAAACAGG